GAUGAAUGAAAUUUUUAAGGAUCAAUUAAGGCGGUCAGUACUAGUCUUUUUUUUUUUUUUUUUUUAUGAUAUACAUCAUAUAGCAAGAAUAUGACUGAGCACAAGGGGCAUUUGAGGUGGGUUUUGAGGGUAUUGGCAGAGAAUCAAUUGUAUCGAAUGGGAAGAAGUGUAUCUUCAGACAAGGCAAAGUCGAGUAUUUAGGACAUGUUAUUUCUCAGCAUGGGUGGCAGCAGAUUGUGAAAAAAUUAAAGCAAUGGUGGAUUGGCCAAACCUGAGGUCCUUUCGUGAACUAAGGGCAUUCCUUGGUCUUAAAGGAUACUACAGAUGGUUUGUGCAGGAUUAUGGAAAUAUAGCAUGGCUUCUAACCGAGAGACUUAAAAAGAAUACUUUCUAUUGGGACGUGAACAGGCAUUUAUGUAGCUCAAGGAGAAAAUGACUUCAUUUCUUGUCCUAGCACUACCUAAUUUUUAGAAGUCGUUUGUCGUCAAAACGGAUGCUUUAGGGUAUGGAUUGGCGGCUGUCCUUAUGCAAGAAAAAUGACCCAUAGCUUUCUUUAGUCAUGCUCUUAAUUCUAGAAGUCGAGGGAAAUCAGUAAACGAGCGAGAGCUAAUGGCCAUUGUGCUUGCGGUGCAAAAAUGGAGACACUACCUGAUGGGCCACCAUUUCAUCAUAUGAACUGAUCAAAAAAGUCUAAAAUUCUUGAUGGAACAGAGAAUGGUAGACCCAAAUUAUUGGUAGACCCAAAUUAUCAAAAGUGGCUGAUAACGCUUAUGGGUUAUCGGUUUGAAAUUCAAUAUAGACCAGGCCUAGAAAAUAAGGCAGCUGAUGCUCUUUCUUGCAUUAAUCACCAGCAUGCCUCGAUGGCUAUGACUGUUCCUAGUGUUGUUCAGUUAGAGCAAUUGGCAAGGGAGGUAGCUGUUGAUGAGGAGUUACAUUGAAUAAUCACGAAGAUGAGAAGGGAUCCCUCAACUUGGCCUAAUUAUGAAGUGAUUGAGGGGCACUAAUUAUACAAAGGAAAGUUGUUCCUGCCAAAGGGGCCUGCUAUGAUUCCUCUGAUGCUACAGGAAGGCCAUGAUAGUAGCAUAGGGGGCCACUCCGAGAUGUUGAAAACAUAUAAGAGGAUUGCCUCUAAUGUCUAUUGGGUGGGGAUGAAAAAGGAUAUCUACCAUUAUGUCAAGAAUUGCUCGACAUGCCAACAAAAUAAAUAUAUGGCCCUGUCUCCAAUUAGCUUAUUGCAACCCCUAGCCAUUCCAAAUCAGGUAUGGGAAGAUAUUACCAUGGAUUUCGUGGAAGGGUUACCAAAGUUAGGAAACUGGGACUCCAUUUUAGUUGUAGUGGACAGAUUAAGCAAGUACGCAAAUUUUGUGGCGCUAAAACACCCUUUCUCAGCAGCUACUAUUGCUAGGGUUUUUAUGAAAGAGAUUGUUCGCCUCCAUGGGAUCCCUUGCUCCAUUGUAUCUGACCGGGACACGAUAUUCAUGAGCAAGUUUUGGGAAGAAUUAUUUCGUUUACAAGGCACGAGACUCUGCCAAAGUACAGCUUAUUACCUCCAAUCAGAUGGGUAGUCAGAAGUGGUGAACCGCACCUUGGAAACAUAUCUAUGCUAUUUUGCUUCAUCCCAGCCAAGGUCAUGGGCAGUUUGGCUACCUUAGGUAGAGUUGUGGUACAACACUCCCUACCACGCAGCUUCCAAGUUGAUUCCUUGUCAAGCAUUAUAUGGGCGUGA
RNAcentral lists this long non-coding RNA (1726 nucleotides) under Olea europaea subsp. europaea. The record is from RNAcentral. Lineage: Eukaryota; Viridiplantae; Streptophyta; Magnoliopsida; Lamiales; Oleaceae.